Long non-coding RNA from Xiphophorus hellerii (green swordtail), 145 nucleotides. RefSeq lists it as uncharacterized. The transcript is spliced from 3 exons. The record is from RefSeq and is a predicted model, not a curated record. Lineage: Eukaryota; Metazoa; Chordata; Actinopteri; Cyprinodontiformes; Poeciliidae.
GUUGAAAGGAACGGAGAACAUCACAACUUCAGUCACUGAAGUGAAGACAGCAUAUUGGACGCAACUUAAAAGAUUUCUUCUGGAACAAUGAUGAAGAUUUUAUCCAUUCUACUUCUGGUUGCUGUAGGGACAACUGCUGCCCCAA